AAAGAACAGCUAUGGGACCUUCAACCAUUCCUUCAGCUGUACAUCCUUGGAAGGAAAAACCAGAAAGGGUUGGACCUGACUCUGCUCUUAACCACUGCUGCUCCCCUGCAGUCAACAGUCACAAAUCCUGCCCUGUAUCUGCACAACCCUUCAGGCACGGAUUGCAGCCUGAAGCUCCCUCUGACACGCUCUGAUCAGUCUGGCUGCAGUCCAGCAGGAAAAGCCAAGGGAUUUUGUUGUGAGAACUUUAGGUCAGCUUUCCCAAGUCCAUGGGAAAGGGCUGUCCCCUUGGGGCCAACGACGAGAGGCAUUCAGAUCUGCUCUCCCAGCAAGAGAUGGGGAGAGUUCAUUACAUAGCCUCAGCCUUUGCUUCCUUAAUGAUCCCAAACACAGUGGAACAGCUAUGGUCUCCCCUUGGCUUGCCCAGAUGCUCAGUCCACAUACACUACUAAGUGCUAGAAUGAGAAUUUGGCUUACAAGCAGGCAGCAUUCAGACCUGGGCCAGGAGGUACCAGAUGCAUAGAGUUCUAAAGCAAAUGCCAGCUUUCUGUCCAAAAAUGGUUCUGGUUCACAAAAUUAGGAACAGUUUCCAGUGAAUCUGAAGCAGAUGGAUGGGUUCACAGUAAAUUUAUGUCUUUGAGCCAUUUCAAGCAGUGGCACUUUAGGUUUUUUCUCCUUCCAGCUGCAUGUGGAGGCUGUGGUUGAGCUUUGUUGUGCCAGGUGCCAUCAAACAAACAUGAAGAAUCAGCUCCUGCUUGGAUGUCUGUGCUUCUAAGCUGAGAGUUCCAACCCUGAGAGGGCUCAGAUUCACAGGCAGCUCUGAGGGCAAAGUCCACAUCUCACACCACCCCAUGUCCAGCCUUUGUGUGUUGCUGCCUCUCCCAACCUCCUAAGGACCAACCAAAUCCGUCAGCCUUCAAACACAGGCACGCAGCUGAAGGAACUGGAAACCUUGUUGGACCACAUAUCAAUUUUGGCUGUCACGUCAACACAAAUCUCCUCCAAAACCUAAAUGCCCAGCACCUUGACACCUGCAGAUGUGACCCUGCUCAUUGAACCAUGCAAAAGAAAACAUCUCUGGGUUUGGCUCUUGCUCAACUUAACCAAAUUUGUAUGGUGGGGACCCCAAUUUGCUUACAUCUGGUGACAAAGUGUGUGAGCAUCAGCUGUGGAGAGUGAACCUCAGAGCAUCCUUCAGCAUUGCAAAGCAGUCAUCUAAUAAGGAUUUUGAGUAGCAAAGUUACCACGUCUGUGUCUGUUAUUAACAUUUAGAAGGUAAUCUGCCUACCACCAUAAAUGCUAACUACUCUGGCAUGCCCUUGACAGGUAUAAUUGUCUGUAGUCCUGUAAAAAGUAAUAGCCAUCUGGCAGAAAGCACUGAUGCUGUGAGAAGAAAUAGAAGAUGGGUGCCAGCAAGAGACCAAAGCAAAUCUCCCAGCACAGGUUACCUUGGGGCUGUGUGAUUGCCUGGCAAUCUGCUCGUGUCCCCCCUUUUCAGCUGCUUUCAAAGUCAUGGGAGGAACGUCUUUCAGUUUUAGCCUUGCAGCCAGCACAAGCCCUAUCUGAAUUUAUUACAGACAAGGAAGCAGAAAUAUUUCUGCUUCGCUGAAACUGACAAACAUGAAAAAAGAGCUAGCCUGGUGGAGAUCAAACUCAUGGGCUUCACGAGAAACCUUGCUCAGUUUCUGCAGAAAGUGUAUUGCCCUGUUAAUAAUACACUGUAUAUCAUCUGGCGUUUGCAAGGAAUGACCUGCCUGCUCCUCAGCAUCUCUGGCUCUCUUCAUUAUUAUAGCCCUUGUAAAAAAUGUCACAUUAAGUGCAAAGACCAACAGACCUGGAAAUAGACCAACAGUUCUGUUAUUCACAGAGCACUGUGGGCAGCCAGAUGCAGGCUUCUCCUGGGGCACCCCAGCACCAACCUCGAUACAGAAGAGCUUUCCUUGGGGCAAGAAUAGGACCUAGUUCAUAUCGCUGAUUACUCAUCCUUGUUGAUGAAUCUGCUGAAAAAUCUCACGACAAGGGCAGGUGAUGGUAAAGCAGGGGCAUUUUCCAGCAGGUGCCAUGCUGAGAUUUACAGUGCAGUGGGUGCUGAUCAGUCAACAGCUGGCAGCAACCUGCAGCAAUGGGCUCAGUGCUGCCUGCAUCCAUCAGCCCUGCUGCUACCUGCAUGGGGAGGAUGGAAGAUAUGGAAGGAGGGGAUUCCCCAGCAAAUGCCAUUCCCAGGCUCUGACAGAAAGCAGGAGCAACCAUUCCACGUCCAAACUCUGUGACCCAAGAUAACCAAACAAGUUCAAACCAGCUUCCAAAAGCCAUUCACCCUUAUGACCGCUUUCUCUGAACUUCACGGAGGUUAUGACCAGAUUGUCACUGUAGCAGAGGAGGGAAAUCCAUCUCCGGAGUGUGGGAAAGGAAAUCUGAACUUUUGUGUAAACGAAGAUCUGCACCCAAGGCUGGGCUGACCCGUGGGCUGGCUUUUCCCUUUGCAGCUUUAAAGAAGUGCUGAGUUCAUAUGCACCAUUAACGGUACACCAGCAUCACUUUGGGUCCAGGUACAUUUCCAAGGAUAGGACUCACUCUCACAAAUCUCCCCGUGGUGUUUUAAUACUCUCCAGGAAAUAAAGGAGCACAGUCCCUGUUGCAGCGAAGCCUCCUGAGGAUGGCUUGACCCCAGUUAACGAUAACAACGACCACCAGGACAAUGCAGAAGAAUUUAGGGAGGAAAAGGGCAAGUUUCACUCCUGCUGCUCAGAAAAGCUGAUCUUGUCUGUAACCUCUGGAUGAGUGUACACGAGCUGCAGAUCCAAGCCAUCCGCUGCCAGACAGCUGCAUUUAUGCAGAAAAGCAGCUCACAGACUUCAGACAAAGCCACCCCAAAGGAACAACACUGCACCCCACUGCCUGCCCAUGGUGGAUGAGAAACCCCACAUCUUACACAACUAUUGCUAUUCAAUGGAUAGCAGCUCACUGGCAGCAACUGGUGAUCAGCCUGUCAACGCCAUCUGAUUUAACUUUCCAUUUUUCAGUCCAUAGACCAGCUGCUCAGACCUAAGGUUGUCCCAUGGAGCAGCAAAACAGCACAAACCCUUCACUGCCUGCAGCUGAAGGAGGCAAUACUGCUGAUCCUAAAACUCUCAUAGGAGGAUUUUCUCCAAAUGGUUCAUAUUCAGCCCUUUCCUUGCCCUGAACUGCUUUCCCUGACCCCAUUUAAUAGUUUUCAGGACACUGACACUUGCUUUUCUGAUUUUAUCUCAUCCUUCUCCUGCUUUGCAUAAAUCAGGAGCAUUGGCAUUAAAGUCUAUUCUUUCCCCAAGUGCUAAAAUGUGAGUAAAACUGCUACAAGCACUGAGAUUUACUCCAAGCUCUGGCUUUGUU
Molecule: long non-coding RNA, 3372 nt
Organism: Gallus gallus (chicken)
Lineage: Eukaryota; Metazoa; Chordata; Aves; Galliformes; Phasianidae
Source: Ensembl